GGCUUCCUCCAUCAACCUCCUCCUCCACGGCAGCAAGGCACACCACCCCCAACGAACACCCCCAUCCAGCCCAGACCCAACCCAUUCAUCAACCAACCCCCAAGGAGGCCUCCACACUCCAAACUAUCCUCUUCACAGUGACUGUGUACCAGGCACUCUUUUACAUUUCUGCCUCUGCGAUAGGUCACACUAGGACCCACGG
Long non-coding RNA from Hyla sarda, 202 nucleotides. RefSeq lists it as uncharacterized. Lineage: Eukaryota; Metazoa; Chordata; Amphibia; Anura; Hylidae. The transcript is spliced from 3 exons. The record is from RefSeq and is a predicted model, not a curated record.